Molecule: long non-coding RNA, 287 nt
Filed under: Nicotiana benthamiana
Lineage: Eukaryota; Viridiplantae; Streptophyta; Magnoliopsida; Solanales; Solanaceae
Description: long non-coding RNA (NBEN_LNC021219)
Source: RNAcentral
AUUUUCUUAUUUAAUUUCAUAAAGUAUGAUUAAUCAGUCCAAGUAUUAUUAGUUAGGAUAUUGUUGAGGUACUUUUUGUUAAUUAUAUUUUCUUUUGAUUGUUUUGUAGCCAAGUGAUGCAGCUAGUGGAUUCGUUGCACCCAUGGAUAUAAGAAGAUCAUCCGGUGAAAGUAAUCCCAACAAUAAUCACUGAGAUUGCUUUCAAAUGUAUUAGAUAAUUAAGUAUCGUACUUAUUGAAUAGUCAUAGUAGAUUGUUUGUCCAUAAUGAUUGGACUGGAUAUUCUGU